AGAGUUUGAUCCUGGCUCAGGAUGAACGCUAGCGGCAGCCCUAACACAUGCAAGUCGAACGGUAACAGGGAUUGCUUGCAAUCCGCUGACGAGUGGCGCACGGGUGCGUAACGCGUAUGCAAUCUGCCUAUAACUGAGAGAUAGCCCAGAGAAAUUUGGAUUAAUACCUCAUAAUAUUGUUUUUUGGCAUCACUAAACAAUUAAAACUUCGGUGGUUAUAGAUGAGCAUGCGUCCUAUUAGCUUGUUGGUAAGGUAACGGCUUACCAAGGCAACGAUAGUUAGGGGGCCUGAAAGGGUGAUCCCCCACACUGGUACUGAGACACGGACCAGACUCCUACGGGAGGCAGCAGUGAGGAAUAUUGCGCAAUGGAGGAAACUCUGACGCAGCCAUGCCGCGUGCAGGAAGACGGCCCUACGGGUUGUAAACUGCUUUUAUAUAGGAAGAAACCCCGAUACGUGUAUCGGCUUGACGGUACUAUAUGAAUAAGGACCGGCUAACUCCGUGCCAGCAGCCGCGGUAAUACGGAGGGUCCAAGCGUUAUCCGGAUUUACUAGGUUUAAAGGGUCCGCAGGCGGGAUAUUAAGUCAGUGGUGAAAGCCUACAGCUCAACUGUAGAACUGCCAUUGAUACUGAUAUUCUUGAGUGUGGUUGAAGUAGGCGGAACAUGUCAUGUAGCGGUGAAAUGCAUAGAUAUGACAUAGAACACCAAUUGCGAAGGCAGCUUACUAAGCCAUUACUGACGCUGAGGGACGAAAGCGUGGGGAGCGAACAGGAUUAGAUACCCUGGUAGUCCAUGCCGUAAACGAUGAUCACUCGUUGCUAGCGAUACACUGUUAGUGACCAAGCGAAAGUGUUAAGUGAUCCACCUGGGAAGUACGUUCGCAAGAAUGAAACUCAAAGGAAUUGACGGGGGCCCGCACAAGCGGUGGAGCAUGUGGUUUAAUUCGAUGAUACGCGAGGAACCUUACCAGGGCUUAAAUGCAGAAUGACAGAUUGGGAAACCAGUCCUUCUUCGGACAUUUUGCAAGAUGCUGCAUGGUUGUCGUCAGCUCGUGCCGUGAGGUGUCAGGUUAAGUCCUAUAACGAGCGCAGCCCCUAUCAUUAGUUGCCAGCGGGUAAUGCCGGGAACUCUAAUGAGACUGCCAGCGCAAGCUGCGAGGAAGGUGGGGAUGACGUCAAAUCAUCACGGCCCUUACGUCCUGGGCUACACACGUGCUACAAUGGUUGGGACAAUGGGCAGCCACUACGCGAGUAGGAGCUAAUCCUCAAACCCAAUCUCAGUUCGGAUCGGAGUCUGCAACUCGACUCCGUGAAGCUGGAAUCGCUAGUAAUCAGAUAUCAGCAAUGAUCUGGUGAAUACGUUCCCGGGCCUUGUACACACCGCCCGUCAAGCCAUGGAAGCUGGGAGUGCCUGAAGUCGGUAACCGUAAGGAA
This 1436-nucleotide ribosomal RNA is filed under the name uncultured bacterium. RNAcentral's name for it is "bacterial SSU rRNA". It matches the Rfam family "Bacterial small subunit ribosomal RNA". The record is from RNAcentral.